Molecule: ribosomal RNA, 456 nt
Filed under: uncultured bacterium
Lineage: Bacteria
Description: bacterial SSU rRNA
Rfam family: Bacterial small subunit ribosomal RNA
Source: RNAcentral
AGUCAAUAGAUACCCAGGUAGUCCAUGCCGUAAACGAUGAUUGCUAGGUGUGGGGGGUCUGACCCCUUCCGUGCCGGAGUUAAACACAAUAAGCAAUCCACCUGGGGAGUACGGCCGCAAGGUUGAAACUCAAAGGAAUUGACGGGGGCCCGCACAAGCAGUGGAGUAUGUGGUUUAAAUUCGAAGCAACGCGAAGAACCUUACCAGGUCUUGACAUCCACCGAAUCCUGUAGAGAUACGGGAGUGCCCUUCGGGGAACGGUGAGACAGGUGGUGCAUGGUUGUCGUCAGCUCGUGUCGUGAGAUGUUGGGUUAAGUCCCGCAACGAGCGCAACCCUUGUGAAUAGUUGCUACGAAAGAGCACUCUAUUCAGACCGCCGUUGACAAAACGGAGGAAGGUGGGGAUGACGUCAAAUCAUCAUGCCCCUUAUGACCUGGGCUACACACGUACUACAAU